Caenorhabditis elegans is the source of this 209-nucleotide non-coding RNA. The record is from Ensembl. Lineage: Eukaryota; Metazoa; Nematoda; Chromadorea; Rhabditida; Rhabditidae.
UGCACAAAAUUUUCAUCUACAACUUGUUGAAAUGCGCUCUACCGCAAACAUUUUUGUUUCUUUUUUGUGAAUUAAUUUCAUCAUUCCGCUCCGGCUGUGAGGGCUGCGAUUCCAGUAUACUUCGUACUUUUUACUUUGAAACGUUUUCUUUUCUUCAAAUAUGCGGAAAUGCUCCUUUCACUGAUAAACUGAUAACAAUCUCCUGAUAA